This 453-nucleotide ribosomal RNA is filed under the name uncultured bacterium. RNAcentral's name for it is "partial 16S ribosomal RNA". It matches the Rfam family "Bacterial small subunit ribosomal RNA", at positions 341 to 792 of the family's 1533-position model. The record is from RNAcentral.
ACGGAAGGCAGCAGUGAGGAAUAUUGGUCAAUGGGCGGAAGCCUGAACCAGCCAAGUCGCGUGAAGGAUGAAGGUAUUAUGUAUUGUAAACUUCUUUAGUCGCAGGGAAAUAAGGCGGACGCGUCCGCUGAUGCUAGUAUGCGAAGAAUAAGGAUCGGCUAACUCCGUGCCAGCAGCCGCGGUAAUACGGAGGAUCCGAGCGUUAUCCGGAUUUAUUGGGUUUAAAGGGUGCGCAGGCGGCUUUUUAAGUCAGUGGUAAAAUCGUGGGGCUCACCCCCAUCCCGCCAUUGAUACUGGAGAGCUUGAUUGCGGUCGAGGUUGGCGGAAUUCGUCGUGUAGCGGUGAAAUGCAUAGAUAUGACGAAGAACACCGAUUGCGUAGGCAGCUGACCAGUCCGUAAAUGACGCUCAUGCACGAAAGUGCGGGGAUCGAACAGGAUUAGAUACCCUGGUA